AUACGUAGGGUGCGAGCGUUGUCCGGAAUUACUGGGCGUAAAGAGCUCGUAGGUGGUUUGUCGCGUCGUCUGUGAAAUUCCGGGGCUUAACUCCGGGCGUGCAGGCGAUACGGGCAUAACUUGAGUACUGUAGGGGAGACUGGAAUUCCUGGUGUAGCGGUGAAAUGCGCAGAUAUCAGGAGGAACACCGGUGGCGAAGGCGGUUCUCUGGGCUGUAACUGACGCUGAGGGGCGAAAGCAUGGGUAGCGAACAGGAUUAGAUACCCUGGUAGUCCAUGCCGUAAACGGUGGGCGCUAGGUGUAGGGGUCUUCCACGACUUCUGUGCCGUAGCUAACGCAUUAAGCGCCCCGCCUGGGGAGUACGGCCGCAAGGCUAAAACUCAAAGGAAUUGACGGGG
Molecule: ribosomal RNA, 398 nt
Filed under: uncultured bacterium
Lineage: Bacteria
Description: partial 16S ribosomal RNA
Rfam family: Bacterial small subunit ribosomal RNA
Source: RNAcentral